RNAcentral lists this ribosomal RNA (164 nucleotides) under uncultured bacterium. Its description in RNAcentral is "partial 16S ribosomal RNA". It matches the Rfam family "Bacterial small subunit ribosomal RNA", at positions 355 to 511 of the family's 1533-position model. The record is from RNAcentral.
UAGGGAAUCUUCCACAAUGGACGAAAGUCUGAUGGAGCAACGCCGCGUGAGUGAAGAAGGGUUUCGGCUCGUAAAGCUCUGUUGUUAAAGAAGAACACGUAUGAGAGUAACUGUUCAUACGUUGACGGUAUUUAACCAGAAAGUCACGGCUAACUACGCGCCAG